AUUGAACGCUGGCGGCAUGCCUUACACAUGCAAGUCGAACGGUAACAGGUUAAGCUGACGAGUGGCGAACGGGUGAGUAAUGUAUCGGAACGUGCCCAGUCGUGGGGGAUAACUGCUCGAAAGAGCAGCUAAUACCGCAUACGACCUGAGGGUGAAAGCGGGGGAUCGCAAGACCUCGCGCGAUUGGAGCGGCCGAUAUCAGAUUAGGUAGUUGGUGAGGUAAAGGCUCACCAAGCCGACGAUCUGUAGCUGGUCUGAGAGGCCGACCAGCCACACUGGGACUGAGACACGGCCAAGACUCCUGCGGGAGGCCGCAGUGGGGAAUUUUGGCCAAUGGGCGCAAACCUGAUCCAGCCAUGCCGCGUGCGGGAAGAAGGCCUUCGGGUUGUAAACCGCUUUUGUCAGGGAAGAAAAGGUUCUGGCUAAUACCUGGGACUCAUGACGGUACCUGAAAAAUAAGCACCGGCUAACUACGUG
Molecule: ribosomal RNA, 477 nt
Filed under: uncultured bacterium
Lineage: Bacteria
Description: partial 16S ribosomal RNA
Rfam family: Bacterial small subunit ribosomal RNA
Source: RNAcentral